This 468-nucleotide ribosomal RNA is filed under the name uncultured bacterium. Its description in RNAcentral is "partial 16S ribosomal RNA". It matches the Rfam family "Bacterial small subunit ribosomal RNA", at positions 28 to 507 of the family's 1533-position model. The record is from RNAcentral.
GACGAACGCUGGCGGCGUGCUUAACACAUGCAAGUCGAACGGAAAGGCCCUGCUUUUGUGGGGUGCUCGAGUGGCGAACGGGGGAGUAACACGUGAGUAACCUGCCCUUGACUUUGGGAUAACUUCAGGAAACUGGGGCUAAUACCGGAUAGGAGCUCCUGCUGCAUGGUGGGGGGUGGAAAGUUUCGGCGGUUGGGGAUGGACUGGCGGCUUAUCAGCUUGUUGGUGGGGUAGUGGCUUACCAAGGCUUUGACGGGUAGCCGGCCUGAGAGGGUGACCGGCCACAUUGGGACUGAGAUACGGCCCAGACUCCUACGGGAGGCAGCAGUGGGGAAUAUUGCACAAUGGGCGGAAGCCUGAUGCAGCAACGCCGCGUGCGGGAUGACGGCCUUCGGGUUGUAAACCGCUUUCGCCUGUGACGAAGCGUGAGUGACGGUAAUGAGUAAAGAAGCACCGGCUAACUACGUG